CGAGGGGCCGCGGCGCGCGGCGUGGGCCGGGCCGGGGCAGAAGGAGAAGUUGGCGGCGGCGGCGGCGGCCGCGGGGAGCGCGGAGCUGCGCGGCCGCGGGGCGCAGGUGGGCCCCGCCGCCCCGUCACCCUCCAGGAGCAGGUGAGCCACUGACUAACGCACAUUGUGCUCUCGGCGACUCCACUGUGCGUGUGACAGCGGCUAACCUGCUCCUCGGACAUCGCUGUGCGGCCGCCUCACGUCGCCUCGUCCGCAUGACGCCUCUCGCCCCGAGCGGGACACGAGGUGCAGCGACACGCCGAGGAACUCCCACCCGUCCGUCUGUCCGUCCGUCCGUCCGUCCGCCCGUCUGCUGCCUUGCCAUCGCCCCGUGAGCGAGAGGUGGGAUGCCGGUAGGGCAGAGCCGCAUGGCGCGGGCGGCAGAGGGCCGAGGAGGGAUGGAUCCCCCCUUUGUGGCCCAGUUUGUCUCCGAAGUCAAUAAAUGCUUACGGACGCCGUACCGAGUUAAAGGGAUGCUUUAUCCCGGCCGGUGACGUCUUGAUACCCAGUGACUAACUGAACUGCUAUUGCCAAGGGUGUGUUAAUAGAAGAAACCAUGCCUGGUAUUGCCCUGGAUGAGUCACCUUUAAAGAGAGACUCUGUAAUCUGUUAAAUGAGAAGCAGCACCGAGCUUUGCUUUCCUUCUUUGCCGUUUGCUUCCCAUCGCACCCCGCACCUUUGCUCACUCUUUCCUGCUCCCACCCACGGGGCUGCCUGUCCCUCUGUCACCGUGGUGUCGCACAGCUGAGGAGCACAGCACAGGGGCUGCUCAGCGGGGAGCACAGCUGUCGCUGGGAGUGGAGGAAGUGACGAGGCAAAUUGCUGCUCGAGCAAAGUUCUCUCUUUCGAUUUUGAACCCAUAAAGAAGCCGGGUGGUUGGAAAGCGUCCUGCUAGGUUAUGGCAUGGCUUCAUCUCCUGCUUAAACUAAUUGCGAGCAGACAUUGCCCUCUGAGGUUUCCAGAAGGGCCUGGGUAGUCUCUGUUGCGUUUGCGUUGCUUGCAUGUAACCCUGGGCUGUUGCAGCAAUGCUGUCAGUAAGCACUUAACCGUACAGAAAGGCAGCACAACAUCCUUCUUGCAGACCGAGUCUCCCACACAGAAGUGCUGCCCGUCCCCAUCUCCCCUGCCUGUACUCCUUUGACGUUUCUCCUGCCGGGUCCCAGAGGAGGAAAAUCUGGUGCUCUGCAUGUCUCGUGCAGAGCGAGUGAGUCAAGGUUGCUUCUGCACACCAGAAAGCUGCCUGAAUUUACCAAAGCUGCUUGUACAAUUGCUGUGUAGCUCGGUGCCUCGCUGCUGGGGAUCCCGCUGGCAGAAAUGGCUCUGCAGGUCACUCUGACGAGGUUGGUCCUGCUUCCCAUCAGGCAGCACUUGGUAUGAAAACUUGUGACUUCCCUCUACCUCCAAGACCAUCCUGUUUGGCUCCAGUAAGCAAAGGCAAGGGAUUGAAUGAAGUUUGUUUGUGUUUCCUUUUUUUUUUUUUGGUGUGCUUCCCUCCAGUAAGUGGGGGAAACGUAUCACUGAAUUUCUGUUUUUAACGUUCUUUUGCAUGAUUCAAAACUAACCUACUGUGCUGUCACCUGAAGUCUUCAAUAAACAGUGCAAAACCAGUGUCUGGAUGCUCAUUACUAUAACUCGGGGCUUGGCAGAUUACGGAGCAGGUCCUUAAGGUGGCCUUUGGUAAGAGGAAGCUGUGCCUGCUCAGGCGUGGCUGAUGUGUGUUGCAUGCUGAGCGCUUCCCAUGUCUCAUUUUGCCUCUAGAGCAAAAGAAGGUGGACUUGAAAAGGAGAGUGGGAGGUGUCGUUGGGACCUGGCUGUCCCUCGAGCCCAAUUCCCCACCACUCCCACAGCAAUGCCUUCACCGCCUGCCCUAGCCCAGGAGCCCUUUCUAAAUACAAAACCCUCACAGCUGGGGCUGCUCCAAUGAGCGCUCCUGGACAAUGAGAAAAUACACUAGGGCUAAGAUUGCCCCUUCAUUGAAGCAGUUUUUUUUUUUCAGUAGCUGAUAACCAGAUUUGUAAGGUGACACUUAGCCUGGUAACCAGAGUAUCCACGAGCUCAAAGCUUUAGUGCUCUCACUGAGAAUGGAUGCUGUAAGAUUCUGGGGAGAGGUAAAGGUGUGCCUUACAGGGGGGGGAUGCUGAAAGUUGGGCCUCUGGGUUGACUCUCUGUGCACCUCAGAGACAUUAUUCUUCUAUUUUAAUGCUUUGCAGAGGGAGCAGGUGGAACCUGUCGUGCACCACGCUGGGAAGAGCAUAUCAUGUUCUGUCAGUAACGUGCCAGUGGCAAAUCCUAAAGCUGCCAGUGAGCCUCACCAAGGAGCAAGUGGGCCUGUCAGGAAUAGAAGUAGAAGGAGUACAUAAAUUGUUUAAGAGUAAGAGGAAGUCAGUCAGUUAAAUGUAAGCAGGGACUUAUAUAAUACAUCUUAAAAAAAAAAUUCUGCUGGCAGGAGGUUCCGUUGGGAAAGAAAGUAGCUCAUCCAUAAACAAGAAUAUCUCCCGACCUCCUCUAGUGCUUUUUUCCCAGCACAAGGUAGAAUGUCCUCUGUCUUCACUUUGAGACAUAAGAAGGAAAACUGUAAUAGUGAGAGCAGACGCUACUCAGUACACAGACACAGGAACAUGCACACGUGCCAGCUCUAAGCAUUCUCUGGCUGCUGGAGACUGGUAUUGUAGGAUCUCUGCACCCAGGAGCAGCGAGCAGAGCAUGUGCACAUCACUCAGAACAAAACUAACCUGUGUUUUCUCCUCCAGUCAUUCACACCUUUCCUUCCGUAACUGGUGCCGAAGUGUGCGCUUUGAAAGCUGCUUGUCAAAUUCAGGGGCUGGGAGGAAACACAAAUGCUUCUAGUAUUCUAGAUGAAUUUCAAAACAAACCCUGGGGAACACAUACAGACACCCAACUGCUAGGAGGGGUGGUUCAGGUGCCUGCAGCGGCACUGCCCUUGAGAAUCACAAGAUGUCCUGAGUCAGAGAGGACCCUCAAGGAUGCCCCUGGGCACCCUGAAUUCAAACCCUGUGCCUGAGAAGCCACCCCAGCGUGGUGCAGCACUACUACCCCAAACCCUGCCCAGGAGGAGGAUGGCUGAUGUUGCGAGCAGACGCUGUGAGGUGGAUGGGAGUGACUUUUGUCAUGCAAUAGAAAAAAAAACUAAUCAGGGUUUGCCAGACACACAGCGCCCAGCACCCCGGCUGAGCAGCUUCAGAAGAGGCACGGGAGCACAAGGACACGACUGACAUUCAGCCCGUGGCUGAACUCCUCUCCCGCACAGCGCCUUGUGCUAACAGAGCCUGCAGGUACCUCGCAGCUCUCAGCAGACACAAAAAGGACGCUGGCACUGCGCGCUACGCAAACACACUCUGCCUCACAACGUUUGGGUGCCGAGGAGCUGGCAGGGAGGAUCAUCCCACCUGGAGAAGGAAGGAGUCCUUCCCACUGCCCUGCCGUGCACGCUGUCCCAGGGCUGUGGGGACGUGGCUCCCCGCUGGCCCUGGCUCAGCAUCCUCCAGCCCCGCUGUGUGCUGGAGCGCUGCCUUGCCCGCUGGCCACAUCUUCCCUCUCCAGUAGGCGCCGUACGCUGGGCUUUCAGAUUGUUUUUUAAGGAAAAAUAAUUUAUUUGCUUUGUUUUAAUCUCAUGACAAUGAGUAAUUCCUUCCUACCGCUCUGUAGUGGCCUAGAAAAGGACAGCAUCAUCUCCACUGUAGCAAGAAGGCUUCUCCCAGGGCAUAAAAUUUUAAUUAGGAACAAUCAUGCAGCCUUGAAAUGGGAAUUGCAAGCAGCGAAAAGUCAAAUCAUCAAUAAAAUAUUCAAUGGCAGAAAUGUAUUAUUGACACAGCCUUUAGAGCAGAUAAAAGCGGAAAGGCAGAGCGCUGCAGCGGGCAUCGGUUAAAUAACACGUGCGGCCUUAAGUGGAGGCCAGGGGCAGCGGGGUGGGACAAG
RNAcentral lists this long non-coding RNA (3975 nucleotides) under Gallus gallus (chicken). The stretch from base 131 to 227 matches the Rfam family "mir-210 microRNA precursor family". The record is from RNAcentral. Lineage: Eukaryota; Metazoa; Chordata; Aves; Galliformes; Phasianidae.